UAGUGGCGAACGGGUGAGUAACACGUGAGUAACCUGCCCUUAACUCUGGGAUAAGCCUGGGAAACUAGGUCUAAUACCGGAUAGGAGCGCCUACCGCAUGGUGGGUGUUGGAAAGAUUUAUCGGUUUUGGAUGGACUCGCGGCCUAUCAGCUUGUUGGUGAGGUAAUGGCUCACCAAGGCGACGACGGGUAGCCGGCCUGAGAGGGUGACCGGCCACACUGGGACUGAGACACGGCCCAGACUCCUACGGGAGGCAGCAGUGGGGAAUAUUGCACAAUGGGCGAAAGCCUGAUGCAGCGACGCCGCGUGAGGGAUGACGGCCUUCGGGUUGUAAACCUCUUUCAGUAGGGAAGAAGCGAAAGUGACGGUACCUGCAGAAGAAGCACCGGCUAACUACGUGCCAGCAGCCGCGGUAAUACGUAGGGUGCGAGCGUUAUCCGGAAUUAUUGGGCGUAAAGAGCUCGUAGGCGGUUUGUCGCGUCUGUCGUGAAAGUCCGGGGCUUAACCCCGGAUCUGCGGUGGGUACGGGCAGACUAGAGUGCAGUAGGGGAGACUGGAAUUCCUGGUGUAGCGGUGGAAUGCGCAGAUAUCAGGAGGAACACCGAUGGCGAA
This 612-nucleotide ribosomal RNA is filed under the name Micrococcus luteus. RNAcentral describes it as "bacterial SSU rRNA". It matches the Rfam family "Bacterial small subunit ribosomal RNA", at positions 93 to 719 of the family's 1533-position model. Lineage: Bacteria; Bacillati; Actinomycetota; Actinomycetes; Micrococcales; Micrococcaceae. The record is from RNAcentral.